GAUGAACGCUGGCGGCGUGCCUAAUACAUGCAAGUCGAGCGAACAGAUAAGGAGCUUGCUCCUUUGACGUUAGCGGCGGACGGGUGAGUAACACGUGGGUAACCUACCUAUAAGACUGGGAUAACUUCGGGAAACCGGAGCUAAUACCGGAUAAUAUUUUGAACCGCAUGGUUCUAAAGUGAAAGAUGGUUUUGCUAUCACUUAUAGAUGGACCCGCGCCGUAUUAGCUAGUUGGUAAGGUAACGGCUUACCAAGGCGACGAUACGUAGCCGACCUGAGAGGGUGAUCGGCCACACUGGAACUGAGACACGGUCCAGACUCCUACGGGAGGCAGCAGUAGGGAAUCUUCCGCAAUGGGCGAAAGCCUGACGGAGCAACGCCGCGUGAGUGAUGAAGGGUUUCGGCUCGUAAAACUCUGUUAUUAGGGAAGAACAAAUGUGUAAGUAACUGUGCACGUCUUGACGGUACCUAAUCAGAAAGCCACGGCUAACUACGUG
RNAcentral lists this ribosomal RNA (497 nucleotides) under uncultured bacterium. Its description in RNAcentral is "partial 16S ribosomal RNA". It matches the Rfam family "Bacterial small subunit ribosomal RNA", at positions 28 to 507 of the family's 1533-position model. The record is from RNAcentral.